UACGAAGGGGGCUAGCGUUGUUCGGAAUUACUGGGCGUAAAGCGAACGUAGGCGGUGUUCCAUGUCAGAGGUGAAAGCCUGGGGCUCAACUCCAGAAUUGCCUUUGAAACGGGGACGCUUGAGUCCGAGAGAGGAUGGCGGAAUUCCUAGUGUAGAGGUGAAAUUCGUAGAUAUUAGGAAGAACACCGGUGGCGAAGGCGGCCAUCUGGCUCGGUACUGACGCUCAGGUUCGAAAGCAUGGGGAGCGAACAGG
This 253-nucleotide ribosomal RNA is filed under the name uncultured bacterium. RNAcentral describes it as "partial 16S ribosomal RNA". It matches the Rfam family "Bacterial small subunit ribosomal RNA", at positions 524 to 776 of the family's 1533-position model. The record is from RNAcentral.